CACAAAUGUACUUGCAGCUCUAUUUACCACACAGAGCUCUUACAGAGAGUCUGUCUGCAAAGGGACAGAAAACUUCCUACUCUGACAGGCAUAUCAGUAGGGAUUUUAUUUGUGUCUUCCUGUAAAUGCAGGCGAGCUCAGCUAUUGAUGACUUUAAUUCUACAGGCACCAGUGGUUUGUAUUUAGCCUGAGAAAUAACAUUAGGCAAGUUUAUCUGAUGAGCCAGGGGAAGUUUCCCCUGCGUGGGAUGGACAGCAGGUACAGUGUGACUAGCUUGCUCCUUCUGGAACCUCUUUCCCUUCUCACCUCCGUUCCCCACCUGGCUCCCACAAGCCUCCUGUCUUUUCACAAAAGCAGAGAAUUCAACAGAUGUACACCACUUCCUUCAUUAUUUAGGCUGAUGCUGCGCUAUCGAUUUAGUCAGCGCUAUCGAGGUUGUGAAAAUCUGUAUUAACACAAGGGUUAAAUGGAAAAAUAUUUAUUUAAUGCUUUUGUUUACUGUUCCCCCUGCUUCUGACCCUGGGAAACACCAAGGGACAGGAGCGGCCCCAGUCGGGCUCUGUCUGGCCCCUUCCCGGGUUAAUCACGUUUCACACGUCCCCCGUUCUGGCAGGUGCAGCACCAGAUCUCCCGUUUGUCCCUCUCUGGAUGAAAGUGUGAGGCUCCGUCAAGUCCUCCAGGCACCAGAACAGUUUGCUUUCCUGCUGGAGGUGAAACUGACUCUGGGAGAAGGCACAGCUGGGGCUUUUAUCUCCCCUUCAGAGACUGUUUGGAUAAGUCAGUCAAGCAAUAAUGAAAAACAGAUUGGAGGUUCCUUCCCCUCUCUCCCAGACCACAAGAUGCGACGUAAGUGUUCCAUAUGA
This 863-nucleotide long non-coding RNA is filed under the name Ovis aries (sheep). Its description in RNAcentral is "lncRNA (ENSOARG00000025527.1)". The record is from RNAcentral. Lineage: Eukaryota; Metazoa; Chordata; Mammalia; Artiodactyla; Bovidae.